CCUACGGGAGGCAGCAGUGGGGAAUAUUGCACAAUGGGGGAAACCCUGAUGCAGCGACGCCGCGUGAGUGAAGAAGUAUUUCGGUACGUAAAGCUCUAUCAGCAGGGAAGAAAAUGACGGUACCUGACUAAGAAGCCCCGGCUAACUACGUGCCAGCAGCCGCGGUAAUACGUAGGGGGCAAGCGUUAUCCGGAUUUACUGGGUGUAAAGGGAGCGUAGACGGCAGCGCAAGUCUGUAGUGAAAUCCCAUGGCUUAACCAUGGAACUGCAUUGGAAACUGUGCAGCUAGAGUGCAGGAGAGGUAAGCGGAAUUCCUAGUGUAGCGGUGAAAUGCGUAGAUAUUAGGAGGAACACCAGUGGCGAAGGCGGUUUACUGGACUGUAACUGACGUUGAGGCUCGAAAGCGUGGGGAGCAAACAGGAUUAGAUACCCUAGUAGUC
RNAcentral lists this ribosomal RNA (440 nucleotides) under uncultured bacterium. RNAcentral's name for it is "partial 16S ribosomal RNA". It matches the Rfam family "Bacterial small subunit ribosomal RNA", at positions 338 to 795 of the family's 1533-position model. The record is from RNAcentral.